AUGGAGUACAAGAGGUCAUCGCAUGUGGAGGAGGACGAGGAUGAGGAUUGGGCGAUGAGGGACCGUCGGUACCAGCAUCAGCAUCCGCACCAUCAUCGCCAUCACUACACCACGGUGCCGGCCACGGCCGCGCCCCCGCAGACAUGCACCUGCACGGCCAAGCUCCCCAGACUAAACGGAAUUGCUGGCGUCGUUGCAGAAGAUAUCAAGAUAAUGCUGAUCUGGGGCGAUGAGGACAAGCUUUUCGACAUAGAGCUGGCCAAGAAGAUGAACGAGCAGCUGGGCGAGAACUGCUACCUGCAGGGCAUCCCCAAGGCCGGGCACCUGCUCCACCUGGAGCGCCCCUGCGCCUACAACCGCCAGCUCGGCAGGUUCCUCGCCUACGUCAACUCCCAGGAAAACCAAACCACCAGUUGA
This 417-nucleotide ribosomal RNA is filed under the name Triticum aestivum (bread wheat). Its description in RNAcentral is "partial small subunit ribosomal RNA". The record is from RNAcentral. Lineage: Eukaryota; Viridiplantae; Streptophyta; Magnoliopsida; Poales; Poaceae.